This 798-nucleotide small RNA is filed under the name uncultured Neurospora. Its description in RNAcentral is "eukaryotic LSU rRNA". The stretch from base 524 to 798 matches the Rfam family "Eukaryotic large subunit ribosomal RNA", at positions 1 to 281 of the family's 3401-position model. Lineage: Eukaryota; Fungi; Ascomycota; Sordariomycetes; Sordariales; Sordariaceae. The record is from RNAcentral.
CUUGGUCAUUUAGAGGAAGUAAAAGUCGUAACAAGGUCUCCGUUGGUGAACCAGCGGAGGGAUCAUUACCGAGUACUAUAACUCAUAACCCUUUGUGAACCUUUAUACCUGUUGCUUCGGCGGCGCGCCUCCCGGGGCGUGCCCGCCGGCAUUAUCAGAAUCUCUGUUCGAACCCGACGAUACAUCUGAGUGUUCUAAGCGAACUGUUAAAACUUUCAACAACGGAUCUCUUGGCUCCAGCAUCGAUGAAGAACGCAGCGAAACGCGAUAUGUAAUGUGAAUUGCAGAAUUCAGUGAAUCAUCGAAUCUUUGAACGCACAUGGCGCCUUCCAGUAUCCUGGGAGGCAUGCCUGUCCGAGCGUCGUUUCAACCCUCGAGCCCCCGUGGCCCGGCGUUGGGGAUCCGCGUCUGACGCGGUCCCUCAAAAACAGUGGCGGGCUCGCUAGUCACACCGAGCGUAGUAACUCUACAUCGCUAUGGUCGUGCGGCGGGUUCUUGCCGUAAAACCCCCAAUUUCUAAGGUUGACCUCGGAUCAGGUAGGAAUACCCGCUGAACUUAAGCAUAUCAAUAAGCGGAGGAAAAGAAACCAACAGGGAUUGCCCUAGUAACGGCGAGUGAAGCGGCAACAGCUCAAAUUUGAAAUCUGGCUUCGGCCCGAGUUGUAAUUUGUAGAGGAAACUUUUGGUGAGGCACCUUCUGAGUCCCUUGGAACAGGGCGCCAUAGAGGGUGAGAGCCCCGUAUAGUCGGAUGCCGAUCCAAUGUAAAGUUCCUUCGACGAGUCGAGUUGUUUGGGAAU